GUUUGCUUAAGAUUUUGCAACGAGUUCAGAGUAGCUGAUUCUGCAACAAGUUCUCAUCGCAAUGGAGCUCCUCUUGAAGUAUACCGUUCUGUAUUGCUGGGACGUGUUGCAGCAGCGGUGGAAUUUCGAGGGGAUAAGACUCCCCAGUUCUUCAUGUUACGCCUGGGCUGGGUAGUGCGACUCUGCUGCUUAAUUCUCAAAGCCAAUUGAUGGGCUUCCUCGACACUAGCAAGGCGUACUGUGAGGUUUCUGGACCCAUUUAUUCUGGAUGGAUCACAUCACACUUGAAGUUUCAUUGUCAAAUGUAUUAAAAUUUUGAAAUGGUACUUUAUUUCAUUUGAACUCUGAGCAAAAUUAUGAUUAAGACAAGAUGAUAUUUGUUUUCCCCUGUU
Corylus avellana is the source of this 392-nucleotide long non-coding RNA. RefSeq lists it as uncharacterized. Lineage: Eukaryota; Viridiplantae; Streptophyta; Magnoliopsida; Fagales; Betulaceae. The record is from RefSeq and is a predicted model, not a curated record.